GAUGAACGCUGGCGGCGUGCUUAACACAUGCAAGUCGAACGAAGCACCUUGAUUUGAUUCUUCGGAUGAAGAUCUUGGUGACUGAGUGGCGGACGGGUGAGUAACGCGUGGGUAACCUGCCUCAUACAGGGGGAUAACAGUUAGAAAUGACUGCUAAUACCGCAUAAGACCACAGUACCGCAUGGUACAGGGGUAAAAACUCCGGUGGUAUGAGAUGGACCCGCGUCUGAUGAGGUAGUUGGUGGGGUAACGGGCUACCAAGCCGACGAUCAGUAGCCGACCUGAGGGGGUGACCGGCAACAUUGGGACUGAGACACGGCCCAAACUCCUACGGAAGGCAGCAGUGGGGAAUAUUGCACAAUGGGGGAAACCCUGAUGCAGCGACGCCGCGUGAGCGAUGAAGUAUUUCGGUAUGUAAAGCUCUAUCAGCAGGGAAGAAAAUGACGGUACCUGACUAAGAAGCACCGGCUAAAUACGUGCCAGCAGCCGCCGUAA
RNAcentral lists this ribosomal RNA (495 nucleotides) under uncultured bacterium. RNAcentral's name for it is "partial 16S ribosomal RNA". It matches the Rfam family "Bacterial small subunit ribosomal RNA", at positions 28 to 523 of the family's 1533-position model. The record is from RNAcentral.